AUUAAUUGUUGAAAAUUCGAGUUAUAUUGAUUUGAGAUAUGAAUUUUUGCAAACGUGAUUGUUUGAUGAUUUUGAUGAUACCAUGUUGUAGUACGUGCUUUUCUCGUCGUUUUGGUAUAUUAUAUGUUGAAUUUGGGGUUCGGAAUCAUAUAGAAACAGUGGUUUAAUUCUUGAGUUGAGUGUUCUUGGUGUUCUUGAGGUUCCUCGUCGGAAAACUCAAGCUCUUCGCCGGAAUUUUGAUCCGUUAAGUCUGGGCAGUAGUGGAAUAUAUGAAUAGAAGGAGGAGAGAAAGGGGAGUAUGCUGGUGUGUUUGGUUUGAGCGGAGGUGGCUCGAAUCGCCGCCAUCGGCGGCGGGAAGUCGCCGACUUCGGCCGGAUUUUCCGGCGAAUUCGCGCGACUUCUGCCUAAUUAAAGAUGGGGGAUUGAUUUAUGGGUGUGUGUACUACUGAUCUGGAGUAGAUGGUGAGUGGAGGACGCCUGGAAACGAAAAUCCGGCAAGUUAGUGUGGUGGCCGGCGGCUUAUUGCUGUUUGGUCACCGAAGUUUUAAAGAUGAUGAAGUUUUUGUACUCAGGUUUUGAAACUUAUGAAUUACCCCCUGUAACUUUGAAAAGUUGCACUUUAAACCCUGGACAAAACUUUCAAAAGUUUACAAAAUAAACCUUUUGAUUUAAUUUUCUAAAAUUGUUUUAUUUAAUUAUUUUAAAUUCCAAAAAUAGUUUUUAAUUAUUUGUUUAUUCAAAAAUAAAUCUAAAUUAGUUUAUUAAUUAAUUUUAAUUAGUAAUUAAUUAUUUUAAUUGGUCAAUUAAUUUAAAUAUUAAUUGAUUAAUUAUUUUAAUUAAUUAUUAAUUGAUUUUAAUUGGUUAAUUAAUUGGAUUUAAUUAAUCCUUUUUGAUUUAAAAAUUCCGAAAAAUAGUUUCGAGCUUUAAAAUAUUUUUCCAAAUUAUUUUCAAGGCUCGAUAAUUGUUUAUGAAUGAUUUCAAGUCCAAUUUCAAGUAUUUGGGACUUGAUUAUUCAUCCGAAAAGUGAUUCUUUUAUCGAUUUUAAUUCCGAAAAAUGUUUAAAAAUUCCAGAAAAUUUCCGAAAAAUCAUUUUAAACCCAAGACUUGAUUUAAUAUCAAUUGGGAUGGGAGACCUUAUAUGAAAUAUGUUGUAUGCUAUCUGUUUGAUGUGUUAUGUGGCGAUAGGAGAGUGAGAAAACUGUUUUGAGCAUAACUUUUGAUCCGUAAGUCGGAAUCAAGUGAAACGAAAGAGAGACAGAAGCUUAUAACGUCUAUUUUAAUAUGAUGUGACUAUAUGGCUGAGUCUAUAAGGUGAAUAAUUGUUGAUAAGUAUGCAUAAUGUGAUAAUAUGUGAUCUAAGUGCUAUCAGGUGAUGAUUAUGUGAAGUACGUGUUAGUUUUGAUAUUGUGAAGUGAUAGAUGAUUCGUAUGAUUGAUAUUGGAUAAGAAUAUAUGGAUUAUAGCUAUUGGAUUUUGUUGGUUGAUUAAUGAUUGGGAUAAGAUAAUAGGUGGAUAGUCUUAUACAUAGACGAGACGAUGUCGGAUUUUCGAUAAGGAUUUAUAUGAUAAUUGAUUGGUGAUAUGUUAUGUGGAAUAUGAUUGACUAUAUGUUAGAGUUAAAGCAUGCUUAUGUGUUACGUGGUAUCUGAUAAGUUUAAAGGGAUAUAUAAGUGGGUAUUGAUAUACGUGAGAUGUAUAUGCGAUCGAUUGUUUAGUGAUUAUAGUGUUAUCUUAUUCUCGUAAAAGAUUUGGACGAGACGUGUAUGCCCGAAGACGUUCAGAAAGUCACGUGGUGUUACAAAGCGAAUAAGGGAUGAAUCGAGUAAGCGAAGCGAAGAUGUACGGUAGAUAGAGUAUAGCCAGAGAUGGUCUAGAGACUAUGAGAUGCAUAGAUUGUGAAAGUGGAAAGAUGAGAUUGAAAUGUGAGACUGGAGUCAGAUUUAAGGCAAGUAUCCUGCACCCUGCUUUUGGAUAUAUUGCAUAUUCUGAUCCAUUCUUUUUAUAUGUGUUGCAAGUAUCCUAAACCUUUCUCUUGGAUAUAUUGCAAAUAUUCUGAUCCAUUCCUUUGGUAUAUGUUUCAAGUAUUCAUACCUUUCUUUUCAAUGUUCGAAAGUGCGAGUAUUCUGACCCAUUCUUUCUAAUCUUCAAGUUUCUAAAGAAUUUCCGUUUUACAAAUUAAUUCGAAGUUCAGAUUGUCAUUGAAGCAUGUGUUGCUCAGUGAUAGUUAGAGCUUUGAAUGAAUUGGGAUCUUCUUGAUUAUUCAACCCGCCAUUGUCAUGCUGGUUUAGCAGGCUAAAUUCAGUUGCUUAGCCGAUAAUGGAGGAUACUGAAUAGUUGAGGAUUUCCUGAACUGUGAUUUAUGAAAUGAUGGAUCAUGAUUAUUAUCAAAGUUUGAAUUGGAAUUAUUCUGUUGUUGAUGACAUUUAGAAUGAUGUUCUGUUAAUUUACAUUGGCUUCUUGAAUUGAAUUAGAGAAUUGGAUUAUUGUUUUUAUAUAAACCUGUGGACCAGAUUCGUGGUCAUGUUAGGCCAAUGAGUGCCUUGGAUCCAGUGAUAGAGCAUGGCGGGGCCUGCUCGGGGUUAGUGCGGAACUGAUCAGCUGCCUAACCUUGGUUUUGAUUAAAAUGUGAUAGUCCAAUUCAAUAAUUCUUUGGAAAGAUUGAAUUUCUCAGUUUAAAUGCUGCAAGGUAUUGUAAAUCAUUCUAUACAAUACCAUGAACUCAUGAACUCAGGUUGAAUCCUUUUAUAUCUUGAACUCGUGAAUUUCUGUUAUAUCAUUUCAGAAUUAUCAUUGUUUAUUAUUACUUGCUGAGCAUUGUUGCUCACUCUUGCUAUUCUCUUUUAACCAUUUCAGAAAGGCUUAAAGAUGAGAUGAUUGAUUGAGAUUGUGAGUAAGGCUAAUGCUAGGCGAGGAGACAGAGUUGAGGAUCCAGUGGUCGAGAAGUGUUCAGGAAAGUUGAUAAGGUUGGUGCAAGCUGAAAUAGUUGACAGUGAUUCUUCUUAUCGAAGAUGAUCUGAUUUGGUAAGAGAUGUUGUGUAAUAAUAGCGGUAGAUUCUAAUUUCAAUACUGUAACCUGGAUGCGAUCCUGUUGCUUUUAGGGGGUUUAAAUGUUCUCCUUCGAAUCAUUUAUUAAAGUUUAAAUGUUCUCUUGAAAUUCUUUUAUUAUGGUUUUCAAGUUUGAAAUUCAGGUUUUGAAAUCAUUCGAUUUAUGUUCUCAUUCAAAUCUUAUAUUAAAUGUUUUCAGGUUUUAAAUUCUUUGAUUUCAUUAUCUUUAGAAAAAAAAUACAGGUUUUCAAAGGUGUUUAAAAAUGGGUUUUAUGUGGUGACGUCAGAAUCCAGACCCCCGGAUUCUCGGACUGUCACAGUUGGUAUCAGAGCAACAGGUUACAAGUUAUUGGAAUUUGAAUAUAGAUUAUAGUUUUAAGUUUUAUAUAGGAUAGACGUUGUGUGACCUCAUAUCGAGGUAUUGUGAGACUAUUUGGACAUAGUCUAGAGAUGUGAGUGAAGCAUAGAGUCUAGUUAGAUGAUCAAGUUAAGUGUGGAUAUUUAAAGAGAUUGGGAUUCUUAAGUUUAGACAUAUGAUUCCUAGUAUAUUGACUAAUCGAGAUGGUAUUAUAGUGAGAAGUGUCCAGAUUAGACCUGGAUAGAAGAGUUUGAUAGUGAAUGAUUGAGUUAAGAAUGGUGAAAAUGCAGAGUUCAGAGUAUUCUGACUAUACUGCAUAUUUGAAAUUGGAUUAUUGUAUUGAUUUGAGGAUGAUAUAAAUGCAUGGUUCAUAGUAUGUUGACCAUGUCAGAUAUUUGGAAGAUGUAUAUUGUUUUGAGUGAAGAUAUGAAGAGUAAGUGUAGAGUAUGAGUUGUAUGGGAUUAGAAGGAGAGAUUGGUAGAUAGAGGUUGAUAGGUGAGAAGUGAAUGAUAGAGAGUACGUGGAAUUGAGUCCAGUUAUUAGAGAUGAUGUCUACGAGUAAGUUAGAACGUUAGUCCUCGACGACGACGCUUCAAGCUAAUCGGGACUUCAAACGAUAUCAAGGUGGGCCCAUAACCCACAGGUUAGCGAUCCAUACAAUCGAUGAUAUGCUACGUGUUUUGCUAGUGACUUCACAGAUAAUGGGGAUGAAGUGGAGGUCAUGACUUAUUACGAGCGAUAACGUCUACUAUGAAUUUUACGAGGUUGCUACGAACGAACGUCAAUCGACUAUCGAGAACGUUGAAAGGAUGACAUAAAUCGAAUAGCGAUUUCGUAAAGUAGAGUGGGAAUUUGAGAAGACCUUGGCAAUACCUCUCUUCAACUAAAGAUUCUUUUGAUUAUGUUCUUCAUCAGUGAGUUAUUAUGAUAUCAUUUCAAUAAAUGAGAUUUUCAAUUUUUCACAUUCUAAGAUGAUAAUGAUAUUGAUUAUUGGUGUGAGUUGGUAUUGAAUCGGUGUAUGAUAAAGGCGUGUUUAUGAAGAAACAGUGGAAUUCCUUGAUAUUAUUUGAUAUUCUUUGAUAUUCCUUGACGUUCUUUGAUAUUUUUGAUAUACGUUGAUAUUCGUUGAUAUUCUUUGACACUUUUUGAUAUUCCUUGAUAUCUUUUCGAUAUUCCUUAAUAUAUUUCUCAAUAAACCUUAACGUUCCUUGAUGCUCCUUGAGAUUUCUUGGAUUCUUUCUAUCUGAUUGGGAUGAACAACCCUAUGUAUAGGGGACACAAGGUAUACCUGUCUGUGUGAUAGGAGUUGGAUGGGACGCCAUCACUUGUGUGUGUUGUGAUUACAAGAAGGUUAAAAACCUUUAGUAGUGUCUAAUAUGGACACGCAACAUGAAGUUCAAUUGAUCGUAUUGAUCUCCCAGUCACUCUUGUAUUCCAAUGUGACCUAUUUUGAAAACAUCUUGUUCCCCCAAAUUUUCCCAAACAGUGAUUCUUGGGAAAUGAAGUUUGCAAUUGCGAAGGCUUUGAUUCUCCUAUUUCUUUAACUUUGAAGGUAUGCCAAGGUUGAUUAAGGGCGGAUGAGCAUGUGAUAUUAUGAAGCGUGUACAAUGAUUUUACAAAUGAUACGUUUUAGUUUUCUUCGCGGAUUCCGAGGGCGGAAUCCUUAUAAGGGGGGUAGAAUGUAAUAUCCCAUACUAUUAAAUUUAGAUUUGAUUAUUAUAAAUCUAUUUGUCUAAAUAUUAUUGUUGGCUUUAGUUGAAAAGUGAAUUGAUUAUGUGAAUAGUUUUAUAUGAUGAUACUUGUUCUGUGGAUUAAUAUGGAUUAUACUAAUUAUGCGUUCUCCUUCUUUCUCUGAUUCCGAGGACGGAAUCCCUAUAAGGAGGGUAGAUUGUAAUAACCCGGAUUUUAAAAAUAUUUUUGUUAAUAUUAUAAAUGAUUUUCUUAAAAAGAAAGGAAUAAGAUUUAAUAUUUUAUUCCAGUUUAAUGAGUUUUCAAAGUUUUAUAUUUAAACCCCGGGUUAUUGUGUUAUUGAUAAAUAAUUGUAUUUUCAAAACUGAUUUUCAUAUAUUGUUUUGAAAAUUCUGUAUGAAUAUUAUGUGAAUAUAUGUGUUAUGUGAUUAAGUGGUAUUGGUGAAUUUGUUUGUUAAUUAGUUAUGAUUAAUUAUUAAUAUGAUAUGAUUAAUAUAUGAAUUUUUGUGAAUUUUGUGUUAUCUAGUUUAUUGACCUGAAUGCUCAUAUGUGUUCGUAUUCGCGAGAUUUCAAUUUCUAUAUGCUCAUGAGAAAAUAUAGUUUAUUUGGAUAUUUUCAUAUCGAUUUAUGGAAUGUUAUAUGAUUUUAUAAUCGAUUUACGGAUUUAAUUGUGUAUAUUUAUAUUUAUUUAUUAAUUAUUUGACUUCCGUAAAACCGUCCACUCGUAACGAGGUAGCAAAUUUUCUUUCCGGAAGUUUCAACAAAACUAACCUUUAGCCUAAUUUGAAUAUUCCGGACAUUUUUCGUGUUUUGACUUUUUCGAUCCGGAGUACGGUUUUCCCCGGAGUCGGUCCGGCGGAGUUUUUCGGGUAUUUUAAUUGUUGAUAAUUAUCUUGUUGUCUCGAUAAACGUGAAACUAGAUAUUUUGAUUCAUCCUUAUCUUGUAAUAAUUGCAGUGGGACCCGCAUACUAAUGACUGAUUAAAAAGCCCCGUUUUGAUGAUUAUCUUGAAAACCAGUACCGAUUGGACCCCGCUUUAUUAAUAUAAAGCUAUUAAAUACGUAUUUUCAUGUCAUAUACGAUCCAAAGGGGUACCAAUUAUUUGUAAAUAUAAAUAGACCUUUCUAGAGUUUAUUUUCACCCGUAAAAUCAUUUCACCAGUUUCUCUGCACGAAUACCGAGAGAAACCGAGCAGUGUUCUUCGUGUUCUUCAUAAUCAAACGAAGAUUUGAAGGUGUUAUUGGAAUCCGAUGGAGGUGUAUGAAUAGUCAAAACGAAGCUAUCGACGUGUAGAUUAUAGUUUAAUCCUUCGUUUGUGUGCAGAUUCAACAGAUUUGGACGAGACGUGUAUGCCCGAAGACGUUCAGAAAGUCACGUGGUGUUACAAAGCGAAUAAGGGAUGAAUCGAGUAAGCGAAGCGAAGAUGUACGGUAGAUAGAGUAUAGCCAGAGAUGGUCUAGAGACUAUGAGAUGCAUAGAUUGUGAAAGUGGAAAGAUGAGAUUGAAAUGUGAGACUGGAGUCAGAUUUAAGGCAAGUAUCCUGCACCCUGCUUUUGGAUAUAUUGCAUAUUCUGAUCCAUUCUUUUUAUAUGUGUUGCAAGUAUCCUAAACCUUUCUCUUGGAUAUAUUGCAAAUAUUCUGAUCCAUUCCUUUGGUAUAUGUUUCAAGUAUUCAUACCUUUCUUUUCAAUGUUCGAAAGUGCGAGUAUUCUGACCCAUUCUUUCUAAUCUUCAAGUUUCUAAAGAAUUUCCGUUUUACAAAUUAAUUCGAAGUUCAGAUUGUCAUUGAAGCAUGUGUUGCUCAGUGAUAGUUAGAGCUUUGAAUGAAUUGGGAUCUUCUUGAUUAUUCAACCCGCCAUUGUCAUGCUGGUUUAGCAGGCUAAAUUCAGUUGCUUAGCCGAUAAUGGAGGAUACUGAAUAGUUGAGGAUUUCCUGAACUGUGAUUUAUGAAAUGAUGGAUCAUGAUUAUUAUCAAAGUUUGAAUUGGAAUUAUUCUGUUGUUGAUGACAUUUAGAAUGAUGUUCUGUUAAUUUACAUUGGCUUCUUGAAUUGAAUUAGAGAAUUGGAUUAUUGUUUUUAUAUAAACCUGUGGACCAGAUUCGUGGUCAUGUUAGGCCAAUGAGUGCCUUGGAUCCAGUGAUAGAGCAUGGCGGGGCCUGCUCGGGGUUAGUGCGGAACUGAUCAGCUGCCUAACCUUGGUUUUGAUUAAAAUGUGAUAGUCCAAUUCAAUAAUUCUUUGGAAAGAUUGAAUUUCUCAGUUUAAAUGCUGCAAGGUAUUGUAAAUCAUUCUAUACAAUACCAUGAACUCAUGAACUCAGGUUGAAUCCUUUUAUAUCUUGAACUCGUGAAUUUCUGUUAUAUCAUUUCAGAAUUAUCAUUGUUUAUUAUUACUUGCUGAGCAUUGUUGCUCACUCUUGCUAUUCUCUUUUAACCAUUUCAGAAAGGCUUAAAGAUGAGAUGAUUGAUUGAGAUUGUGAGUAAGGCUAAUGCUAGGCGAGGAGACAGAGUUGAGGAUCCAGUGGUCGAGAAGUGUUCAGGAAAGUUGAUAAGGUUGGUGCAAGCUGAAAUAGUUGACAGUGAUUCUUCUUAUCGAAGAUGAUCUGAUUUGGUAAGAGAUGUUGUGUAAUAAUAGCGGUAGAUUCUAAUUUCAAUACUGUAACCUGGAUGCGAUCCUGUUGCUUUUAGGGGGUUUAAAUGUUCUCCUUCGAAUCAUUUAUUAAAGUUUAAAUGUUCUCUUGAAAUUCUUUUAUUAUGGUUUUCAAGUUUGAAAUUCAGGUUUUGAAA
This is a long non-coding RNA of Daucus carota subsp. sativus, 7874 nucleotides long. RefSeq lists it as uncharacterized. The transcript has 2 exons. The record is from RefSeq and is a predicted model, not a curated record. Lineage: Eukaryota; Viridiplantae; Streptophyta; Magnoliopsida; Apiales; Apiaceae.